This 3543-nucleotide long non-coding RNA is filed under the name Cucumis sativus (cucumber). Its description in RNAcentral is "long non-coding RNA (CSAT_LNC000014)". The record is from RNAcentral. Lineage: Eukaryota; Viridiplantae; Streptophyta; Magnoliopsida; Cucurbitales; Cucurbitaceae.
UUCUUGCUACUUUAUAGGCCCAAAACCUAGCAAAAUCUUGUAUUUCCCUCCGCGGAUUCAUCUGAAAUCUAGCUCUGAAAUCUAGCAGAUUCAUAAUUCUUCUUGACUUUUCAAUUCUCGUUAAUGAACUUCUCAACAAGAAAAGAAAGAAUUGAAUAUGGAUAAAGAAGUCCGAAGGACUGAUUGAUGCUACCGCCUUAACUACGGCUACUGCAACAACGGAAAGGGAUGCCUAAUCCUCAGGUCUCGUCUUCAUGAAAGGCGUGUCCUAGUCGAAUGAAAGAAUGCUGGCCUAUCAAAGAAAGAUCUCAUUCUCAAUUCUGAGACCCCUAUUAGUCCCCUAUGUUCCGAGGCUAGUCCUCCCCGUUCUCGAUCGAUUGAUACUGGACGGUGGGUGACCGCCUUAUCCGACCCCUGUACAUUAGUCGAUUUUCAUCCAUCGGUCAAAGUCAAAGAAAACCCAUUCUUCACAGGUUCACCAAAAAGAGAGGCAUUUCACCGCCUCAUCAAUAUUGUGAGAUUCAAAUAAAUUAGGCUUGAUUUGAUAUUGGUCAUUCUCGAGCUUACCACCGAGCGAUCGAAGGACGGAUUCAACCUCUCAUGCCCUAGCCUGCUGUUCCGAUUUCAAUGGCACCUACUUAACGGAUGAACUCAAGAAAGAAGAUUUCCGCUUUCUUUUAUGCAUCGCACCUCUGUUCUCGCUAUGUGCCUAUUUUAGUAGAAUGAAUUCCCUUGAACCAAUAUCCGAAGUUGCAGGCUCCCAUAAGACAGAGAUAUUCUUUGCCUUCCACUAAAAAACUUGUUUAUCCACUAUCGUAGGCCUUCUUCAAUUCAAUGGGGACCCUAGUGUACGAGCCUAAUGCUCUUUAUUUGCUUCUGCCGAUUCCCCGCUUGGAUCAGACAAGGCGGUAGAAGUUUGACGGAUAGUCAAGGAUCCCUCUUUCUGAAAGUAUGUCAAGAGCAUACUUGAGCUCAGAAAGACACACACCAUGCUAUCAUUGAUCUACUGAAAUGCCAAGUCUGGAAAUCUUGUUAAGAAAUGAUGCCCACUACGCGGUUGCGGCUCUUGAGCUGAGCCAGUUUCGAUUCUAGCCGUUCUUGAUUUCGAUAGGGAAUGAAAGGCCUAAUAACCUUGAACUGGUCGAAAGGAUUGAUGUAUUUCCAAGUCAAAAGAGAAAUCACGCUAUUCAAGCUGAUCGAAACUAAGCCAAAGACUUCAACGCGAACAAGAGCGAGGGCCUAUCCGGGAACAACCUGUCCUCCGCUCUCGCAAUAUUCUUUGCUCCUUACUAUUUUUGCGUAUAUACCCUUGUUUUUCUUCCGCGCCUACUCCGAUCAUUCUUUGAGCCUCCGUAGGUCCUCUCUUUCUAGGUCAAUGCAAAUUCAGGCUCAAGAUGAGAUUCUUUCUUUUUCCAUAUUAACUUCUUAAUGGUAUACAAGAAAAGGAUGGUAAAAUAAUGGUAUACAUGGAUGAAAUAAGCCAAAGGCUAGAGGGUCAUGAAUAAGGCGUGAAAUUCCCUACCACUGUGAUCUAGCAACUUCUACUGCAACUAAGACUUAUGAAAGCGACCGCUGCCACAAGAAAAGCUAGGACCCGCCCGCUUCCUCCUGUUUAGCUCUCACCUUUCUCUUCUCUCGACUUCUAAGUCUGAUCAAUUCUCAACUCAUCUGGAGCUUGAUUUUUCAAUUCUGUCGAGGUUAAGGCUUUGCUUCGCUUCCAUCGAUCCGCGCCCUACGAUUGAUCUUACCCUAGCUUACUCCCCUAUUCACUCACACCUUCAGACCUCGGUCCCGAUCUGGUCAAUCCAAUCAAUCCAGUCGAUCCUGAAAGCAUUACAUACUUGAUUCUCCUACUCUCAUUCAGUUACUCUUUGAGUCUCUCAUGAAAGAAUGAAAUACCUUUCCGCCUACCCACCCGGAAGUCAAAACCUAUCUUUAUAGAAGGAGGCGCCAUAAGACAGGUCCGAAGGACUAUCCAUUAGGGGAUUGAGAGAGAACUCAAAUCAAAACCGAUGUGAAUUCAGGCUAAAAUCAAGGCUUUUGACUCCUCGCAAUAUUCUUUGCGCCUGUCUGUCCGAAGGACGGGAUAUUCUUGCUAUUACUUUGAAAACAAUGUAGAUGUAGAAAAGAUUCCACAAAUAUUUACGGGAGAGUAGGUAGGUCGGAAGGGGGAAUCUCAGCUCCCUCAAGAGGAAAGGAAUCGUCCGAGGCAGUGGAAGUCUACCUUUCAUCAUCAGAGGCAGAAGUGGUCAGUCGUAGUUGUAGUUCUUCUUUCAGUUGCUUUAGUUCUUCCAGGAGAAGUAGCUUAGUAGUUCGAUCGAUCGGGUGCGGUUAUCAGAAGCUCUCCUGUAGCCGCUCGACUUGAGAGGGUCCCUCUCUCUCCUAUUCACACCGCCUCAAUGGAUCUCUCUUUCUCCGCAACUAAUAUUUCAUUGAGCCUCUCUCAAAUUCUUUGAGCCUUCCGAAAGCAAGAUAAAAGAUAGGAGAGUUGGACAAAGCAAGAACUCAGAUAGAGGAAGAAGACAAAUUAUCCGUUAGAGGAAUGAUCCGUAGAAAGAUUAUCAGCUAGGGAACGGAAAGAGUUGGAGUCUGUAUUCUCUGGAUCGGGUAGAAUCUCCAUUCAGUCCCGUAAAGUAAAGCUGCUGAUUAAGUAAGAAAGGCCGAGUUCCAUAUGAGGGUAGACCGAGUUGGAGCCCUUGCUCCUCUUCCUGUGUGAGGAAGGUUGCCCUUGUUUUGUUCAUUGAGGCGGUUCUUGCUGCUAUAAUAAUAAGAUCAGACUUCUCUUCUUCGAUCGGUAAGCUCCUUAUUCAUGAAAAGGCGGAUUUCUCUUUUUUCUCUAUUUGGGCAAUGCUUCUUGUUAAAGACUCUUUUGUGACUCUGAAAUCAAGGGGUCGAUGAAAUUGACGGAUUGAGCCCACUCCGCGGGAAGAACUUAUCCACGAUCUUACAAUAGACCUGUCAGUAUCCGGACCAUAAACUCAAACUAGAAGUCUGAAUUUCUUUUACCUGUCCUAGGCUUGAUUCUUUCAUUGCAAUUUCCCGGCUUUUUUGCUUCUAAAUGUGACUUUUUUGAAGAUUGAUAUUUAACGAUAAUUGAGUGAAAAAGAAGGCAUUUGACUUGAUUUCUUGCUACUUCCCUAUGGGCAAAACCUAGCAAAAUCAUGUAUUUCCCUCCGUAAAAACAAGGUUAUGAAAUCUGAAUUAUUCUUGAAUUCGAGUUAAUGAGUUAAUUCUUCUUUUCUUUUUUCUUGACUUUUGUGCCAUACCAUAAGACAGGUCCUCCGGACGGUGCAAAGAAUAUUGCGUGGAACUGAAAAGAGCGCGUAGUGGGGAGCAGUUCAUUUAGAGACGACGGAGCACUCCUCUUGAGUCGUUUUCUCCCUUUUCAAAGGAGUCUUAUUCCCCAAAAUAGGAGUAUUCAGAGUAGGAGCAAUGACGAAAGGAUGCAGAUGCUCCCUAGUUGGAAGGUGGGCUUUCUUCUUCUUCUUCUUCUUCCUCUAAUUCAUACUAUAUUACUCUCUUCUUUCUUUGUAUGUAAUUUAG